UACGUAGGGGGCAAGCGUUAUCCGGAUUUACUGGGUGUAAAGGGAGCGCAGACGGCAGAUCAAGUCUGAUGUGAAAUCCAGGGGCUCAACCCCGGAACUGCAUUGGAAACUGGUCAGCUGGAGUGUCGGAGAGGUAAGCGGAAUUCCUAGUGUAGCGGUGAAAUGCGUAGAUAUUAGGAGGAACACCAGCGGCGAAGGCGGCUUACUGGACGAUCACUGACGUUGAGGCUCGAAAGCGUGGGGAGCAAAC
Molecule: ribosomal RNA, 250 nt
Filed under: uncultured prokaryote
Description: partial 16S ribosomal RNA
Rfam family: Bacterial small subunit ribosomal RNA
Source: RNAcentral